Non-coding RNA from Ornithorhynchus anatinus (platypus), 138 nucleotides. NCBI's taxonomy places the organism in Eukaryota, Metazoa, Chordata, Mammalia, Monotremata, Ornithorhynchidae. The record is from Rfam.
CCCCUCUCAGGGUUGCACCUGGAGAGUUUCCAGCAUGUUACCAGUCUCGACUACCAGAGGGAGAGUCAAGCAGAAGCAUAUGCAUUCCAUUCCUAGCUUGGGCAGUGGCUAGUCAGUGGAAAACAAUCUGCUACAAGU